Molecule: long non-coding RNA, 1399 nt
Filed under: Dasypus novemcinctus (nine-banded armadillo)
Lineage: Eukaryota; Metazoa; Chordata; Mammalia; Cingulata; Dasypodidae
Description: lncRNA (ENSDNOG00000049877.1)
Source: RNAcentral
AUGCCUUCCCAGGACCUCCAAGGCCCCUGUGGCCCCUUCCUUUCUGCAGCUUCACCCCCCAGCUCUCCCCCAGACACACCCCACACCCUGUGCUCCCGCCACGCUCGCCACCUCCCAGCCUCCUUCCAACACGCUCCUCCCACGGACCCCGCGUGCUGCGGUUCCCAUGGGUUUCCUCCCCGGGCGUCCGAGCGCUUCUCAAGGACGAGACCGGCUGUGCUGCCCGCACACGUGGCUCGUCCAGAUGCUCCGGUGUCCCCGACGGGACCAGCCCCAGCCCCUGGUGGCAGCAGGUUCCUCCACGGGCUGCUGUGGGUUUUGCUUUGUUUUCUUUUGUCUCAUUUUGGCUACAGUGUUUUGACGGGAGCUUGUGAGAAGUUAAGAGCGACUAGUUCAAGGAACAGGGUCGCCGUGGAAUGCACGACCCCUCUUCUCUUCUCCCCUCUCCACACUCUCGCACACUCAGGCUUCCUGCCGCUGCCACCCAAGGAAAUCCCUGGCCCCGAGCGUCGGAGCCGCUGCGGAGAGGACGGGAAGCCGCUGUCUUCUGACCGUGGGCCAGUCUUGGGCGUCAGCAACGAAAACGGGCUCCAGCUAACUGAAAUAGGUCAAGUAUUCUGAUGAAUCUCAGCAGUCAUUGGAUCCAUUUCCUGCCAAACUGUGACAAACCAACAAGAAGAUCAUGAUUAAUCACCCCCAAGCCCUUUGCGGCAAACAAAUGGGACAGUGUGCGAAGCAAGACAGGUUGUCCACAUUCACCUCCAAAAUUUGGUAUGGGUUAAGUGACUUUUGCACAGAUCUUCACAGUUUGCAUAGAGCUUUAUGGCUUGCACAGAGCUUUAUAGUUUGCCCUCUUACAUACAUUAUUUAUUUGAUCCCCACGAUAGGCCGCUAGGCCACCUCCCUUUCUCCUGGAGGAUUGCAAUCACCCCCUAACUUUCUUUCUUUAUGGAAAGUUGGGGUCUGCUUAACACACAAUAAAAUGCACAGGUCUCAUUGUUCACUUCCAGGAGUUUUGACAAUUGUAUACACCCAUGUAACUACCAACCCAUAGCAAGAUAGAAAACGUUUCCAAUCCCAAGGAACAGAGAGAGUCUGCAACUGCAAGCAAGACAGCCCCAUCCACCUGCCCCAUGGGGUCUAAGCCCCCUCUCAGUUAGAGGUGGAGUGGGCAUCGCCAUCCCAGACUCCUCAGGACUGGAGGAUGAGCGAUGGACUAGAGUGGACAUUAUUAUUCUACUACAGGCUUGUCAUCUAGCAAUGGAAGCAUUUGUAUCAUUGGUAUAAAGGCAGUGGCCACCCAGAGGCUCUGAGGGGAGGGAAAGGGAAGAACAGGUGUAAUAUGGGGGCAUUUUCGGGACAUUGGAAUUGUCCUCCAUGAUGUUGCAAUGAUGGAUAC